This 405-nucleotide long non-coding RNA is filed under the name Penaeus japonicus. RNAcentral's name for it is "uncharacterized LOC122266025". The record is from RNAcentral. Lineage: Eukaryota; Metazoa; Arthropoda; Malacostraca; Decapoda; Penaeidae.
GAGCGCGAGAGACAGUCAGUCUGUGUCUCGCCUCCGUGUGAGAAGAAUGUAAAUAAGACAUGAUAGAGACCAAAUAGAUAAGGAAGAUCUCCCUGGGAGAGCAGUGUACAUAGCAGAGAUACUUAGAGAUAUAUAUACAGAUACAUAUAUAUAUAUCUGUAAUACUUAUGUGUAUAUAUAUAGAUACAAAAUAAAAGAGACUCCAGCCUUUAUACGAGGAUUUUAAGUAUAAGAUAGAAAUAUGAUAAAGAAGGAAUAAUGAAAUCCACAUGAAGAAGAGAGGUGUGAUGCGCAUCCGAGAAUAAAGAGGAAAUAGAAUAUUUGGAUUUAUAUAAGACAUGAAUCAUUUAAAUGAGCGAAGCAGAACGUGUCAAGAAGGAAGAGGAUAAAACAGGAAGGAAGGAA